AACGAACGCUGGCGGCAGGCUUAACACAUGCAAGUCGAACGCCCCGCUAGGGGAGUGGCAGAUGGGUGAGUAACGAGUGGGACCAUACCCUUUUCUACGGAAUAGCCCUGGGAAACUGGAAUUAAUACCGUAUACGCCCUACGGGGGAAAGAUUUAUCGGGGAUGGAUUGGCCUGCGUUGGAUUAGCUAGAUGGUGGGGUAUAGGCCUACCAAGGCGACGAUCCAUAGCUGGUCUGAGAGGAUGAUCAGCCACAUUGGGACUGAGACACGGCCCAAACUCCUACGGGAGGCAGCAGUGGGGAAUAUUGGACAAUGGGCGCAAGCCUGAUCCAGCCAUGCCGCGUGAGUGAUGAAGGCCUUAGGGUUGUAAAGCUCUUUCACCGAUGAAGAUAAUGACGGUAGUCGGAGAAGAAGCCCCGGCUAACUUCGUG
RNAcentral lists this ribosomal RNA (431 nucleotides) under uncultured bacterium. Its description in RNAcentral is "partial 16S ribosomal RNA". It matches the Rfam family "Bacterial small subunit ribosomal RNA", at positions 29 to 507 of the family's 1533-position model. The record is from RNAcentral.